AUUGAACGCUGGCGGCAUGCCUUACACAUGCAAGUCGAACGGCAGCACGGGAGCAAUCCUGGUGGCGAGUGGCGAACGGGUGAGUAAUAUAUCGGAACGUGCCCGGUCGUGGGGGAUAACGUAGCGAAAGCUACGCUAAUACCGCAUACGAUCUACGGAUGAAAGCGGGGGAUCGCAAGACCUCGCGCGAUUGGAGCGGCCGAUAUCAGAUUAGGUAGUUGGUGAGGUAAAGGCUCACCAAGCCGACGAUCUGUAGCUGGUCUGAGAGGACGACCAGCCACACUGGGACUGAGACACGGCCCAGACUCCUACGGGAGGCAGCAGUGGGGAAUUUUGGACAAUGGGCGCAAGCCUGAUCCAGCAAUGCCGCGUGCAGGAUGAAGGCCU
Molecule: ribosomal RNA, 387 nt
Filed under: uncultured bacterium
Lineage: Bacteria
Description: bacterial SSU rRNA
Rfam family: Bacterial small subunit ribosomal RNA
Source: RNAcentral